AAGGCACUGACUUCCAGUUUGCACUAGUGUGGUGUGACACAGUUAGGAUGAGAAUUAGCACUUCCAAGUCUGGAAUGUCAGGAAUGUCAUAAGACAUAAAGAUUGGCCGCUAACUUUCUGUCAUGGUCCGUGGGAGUGCCUGGAGGGGAUUUUCCUUCUGUGGCUGCUGAGCCAUCCCUUUGGGGCGGGGACUUCAGUGCUUCAACUGAGCCUCAGCUGCGAGCAAUCAGCGGGAGACCUACUUCAGCUGACUCAACCGGCCCCUCCUCGCCAGUUUGUUCUACUCUUCUCGGUGCGGAGUUUCAACCCUGGCUUCACCUUUCUGGGACAGUCCCUGUCUCCCAGCCGGCUCGACCGCCUGCCCUCUAACCUCCACGCUUCAGCUUGAGACCCUCCAGACGCUUCCCACGGACCUCUCUCCCCUCCCCUCAGUGAUCCUAACCCGGACUGGCACAAAUAUCCUCUCGUCUCUCUGACCUCUUCUGCGUUCCUGCCACUAGCCUUUUGGGCCCCCCUUGUCAUUUUUGGCCACCUUUUCAAAUAA
Oreochromis aureus is the source of this 544-nucleotide long non-coding RNA. RefSeq lists it as uncharacterized. NCBI's taxonomy places the organism in Eukaryota, Metazoa, Chordata, Actinopteri, Cichliformes, Cichlidae. The record is from RefSeq and is a predicted model, not a curated record. The transcript is spliced from 3 exons.